UUAACACAUGCAAGUCGAGCGAUGAAGCACCUUCGGGUGUGAAUUAGCGGCGAACGGGUGAGGAACACGUGAGAAAUCUGCCUUCAACACUGGGAUAACUCCGGGAAACCGGGGCUAAUACCGGAUAUGAAAUCUGCGGGCAUCCGUGGAUUUGGAAAGUUUUUCGGUUGAAGAUGAUCUCGCGGCCUAUCAGCUUGUUGGUGAGGUAAUGGCUCACCAAGGCGACGACGGGUAGCCGGCCUGAGAGGGCGACCGGCCACACUGGGACUGAGACACGGCCCAGACUCCUACGGGAGGCAGCAAUGGGGAAUAUUGGGCAAUGGAGGAAACUCUGACCCAGCGACGCCGCGUGCGGGAUGAAGGCCUUCGGGUUGUAAACCGCUUUCAGCAGGGAAGAAGCGAAAGUGACGGUACCUGCAGAAGAAGCACCGGCUAACUAUGUGCCAGCAGCCGCGGUAAUACAUAGGGUGCAAGCGUUGUCCGGAAUUAUUGGGCGUAAAGAGCUCGUAGGUGGUUCGUCACGUCGGAUGUGAAACUCUGGGGCUUAACCCCAGACCUGCAUUCGAUACGGGCGAGCUUGAGUAUGGUAGGGGAGUCUGGAAUUCCUGGUGUAGCGGUGGAAUGCGCAGAUAUCAGGAGGAACACCAAUGGCGAAGGCAGGACUCUGGGCCAUUACUGACACUGAGGAGCGAAAGCGUGGGGAGCGAACAGGAUUAGAUACCCUGGUAGUCCACGCCGUAAACGGUGGGCACUAGUUGUGGGGACCUUCCACGGUCUCUGCGACGCAGCUAACGCAUUAAGUGCCCCGCCUGGGGAGUACGAUCGCAAGAUUAAAACUCAAAGGAAUUGACGG
Molecule: ribosomal RNA, 853 nt
Filed under: uncultured Actinomycetes bacterium
Lineage: Bacteria; Bacillati; Actinomycetota; Actinomycetes
Description: bacterial SSU rRNA
Rfam family: Bacterial small subunit ribosomal RNA
Source: RNAcentral